Molecule: non-coding RNA, 22 nt
Filed under: Arabidopsis thaliana (thale cress)
Lineage: Eukaryota; Viridiplantae; Streptophyta; Magnoliopsida; Brassicales; Brassicaceae
Source: RNAcentral
AGGACUACGAUCGCACUAACAG